AUUGAACGCUGGCGGAAUGCUUUACACAUGCAAGUCGAACGGUAGAGGGGGGCAACCCCUUGAGAGUGGCGAACGGGUGAGUAAUAUAUCGGAACGUGCCCAGUCGUGGGGAUAACGUAGCGAAAGUUACGCUAAUACCGCAUACGAUCUAAGGAUGAAAGCGGGGGAUCGCAAGACCUCGCGCGAUUGGAGCGGCCGAUAUCAGAUUAGGUAGUUGGUGAGGUAAAGGCUCACCAAGCCAACGAUCUGUAGCUGGUCUGAGAGGACGACCAGCCACACUGGAACUGAGACACGGUCCAGACUCCUACGGGAGGCAGCAGUGGGGAAUUUUGGACAAUGGACGCAAGUCUGAUCCAGCCAUUCCGCGUGCAGGAUGAAGGCCCUCGGGUUGUAAACUGCUUUUGUACGGAACGAAAGGUUUGUCUUAAUACGAUGAGCUCAUGACGGUACCGUAAGAAUAAGCACCGGCUAACUACGUGCCAGCAG
Molecule: ribosomal RNA, 486 nt
Filed under: uncultured bacterium
Lineage: Bacteria
Description: bacterial SSU rRNA
Rfam family: Bacterial small subunit ribosomal RNA
Source: RNAcentral